RNAcentral lists this ribosomal RNA (117 nucleotides) under Salmo salar (Atlantic salmon). The record is from RNAcentral. Lineage: Eukaryota; Metazoa; Chordata; Actinopteri; Salmoniformes; Salmonidae.
GCUACGGCCAUACCAGCCUGGGUACGCCCGAUCUCGUCUGAUCUCGGAAGCUAAGCAGGGUCGGGCCUGGUUAGUACUUGAUGGGAGACCGCCUGGGAAUACCAGGUGCUGUAAGCA